GAGGAGGAGUGUGGACAGGGAUGCCUGUGGACAGGGCAAACAAUGAUCAGCAUUGAUACUUUCAGGCUUUCAAGCAGCAGUUCAGCUGAGAGCCAUUCGGAUAUGAGGACACAGAGGCUUCCAGUCUGAGGAACAAGAUCAGCUGAGAAGUUGGCCAGGUGUCUCUCCACACCCCAGCACAUGGAGAUGGAUUUUUACUGAUUUCCUCGCUCAGCCCGGGGCUGUGACUGUAAGCAACAGAAGUCUACUCACCGCCACUUAGGCACAGGAGGCUUGCUAUGAGGAUAUACAUUGUGCUCAUCAAAAUAAAAUAGAGUCUGAUCUCAUGAAGAAUGGAGUUGAAAGGUUAUGUUUGACAAAUCUCUGGACACAGCCAGAUAAUUUUGCAUUUCUAGAUUCAGUGAACCACAUGACAAAAGUUAAUUAAACUGGCUGGGGUCGGAGUAUCUGCUGGUGGAUCGGGAACACUGUCUCUUUCCUCAGAAUAAUCGCGGCCCACGUAGACGCCUCCAAGCCCUCCUUGUUGUUUAAUAAAUAUGCCAUUCAUUCCUUUACUUAGAGAUCCUCACAAACCACUGUUUUAAAAUUAUCAGUAAAGGCAUUUAAGGAUCACACCUUCCCAACAA
This is a long non-coding RNA of Peromyscus eremicus (cactus mouse), 626 nucleotides long. RefSeq lists it as uncharacterized. The record is from RefSeq and is a predicted model, not a curated record. NCBI's taxonomy places the organism in Eukaryota, Metazoa, Chordata, Mammalia, Rodentia, Cricetidae. The transcript has 4 exons.